GCCAGGCCGACUGAUGGGCGUCGGCUACGUCGCUACGGCGGCGUAGCCCGUCCGACCCGACAGCUGUCGGGGCUGCCAUGUCAUGUCCUCUUCUGCCGGAUCGGUCACGAUCCGGCAGCUUUUGCAGUGGCAAGACAGCGGUAUGACACCUUUCCUCACGCGCAACUUGUUAAAAUUCGGAUAAUCUCACUGGAUUAGACAGUCUGUUCAGCGUCUGUCUGCAUCGUUCCCCCAGACUUCGCACAUGACCCAGCAACGCACUCUCAAGAACACCAUUCGCGCCACCGGCGUCGGCCUGCAUAGCGGCGACAAGGUGU
Molecule: small RNA, 317 nt
Filed under: Xanthomonas sp. 4461
Lineage: Bacteria; Pseudomonadati; Pseudomonadota; Gammaproteobacteria; Lysobacterales; Lysobacteraceae
Description: sRNA Xoo8
Rfam family: Proteobacterial sRNA Xoo8
Source: RNAcentral